This 497-nucleotide ribosomal RNA is filed under the name uncultured bacterium. RNAcentral describes it as "partial 16S ribosomal RNA". It matches the Rfam family "Bacterial small subunit ribosomal RNA", at positions 28 to 507 of the family's 1533-position model. The record is from RNAcentral.
GAUGAACGCUGGCGGCGUGCCUAAUACAUGCAAGUCGAGCGAACAGACGCGGAGCUUGCUCCUCUGACGUUAGCGGGGGACGGGUGAGUAACACGUGGAUAACCUACCUAUAAGACUGGGAUAACUUCGGGAAACCGGAGCUAAUACCGGAUAAUAUAUUGAACCGCAUGGUUCAAUAGUGAAAGACGGUUUUGCUGUCACUUAUAGAUGGAUCCGCGCCGCAUUAGCUAGUUGGUAAGGUAACGGCUUACCAAGGCAACGAUGCGUAGCCGACCUGAGAGGGUGAUCGGCCACACUGGAACUGAGACACGGUCCAGACUCCUACGGGAGGCAGCAGUAGGGAAUCUUCCGCAAUGGGCGAAAGCCUGACGGAGCAACGCCGCGUGAGUGAUGAAGGUCUUCGGAUCGUAAAACUCUGUUAUUAGGGAAGAACAAAUGUGUAAGUAACUAUGCACGUCUUGACGGUACCUAAUCAGAAAGCCACGGCUAACUACGUG